GUGGGGAAUUUUGGACAAUGGGGGCAACCCUGAUCCAGCCAUGCCGCGUGCGGGAAGAAGGCCUUCGGGUUGUAAACCGCUUUUGUCAGGGAAGAAAUCCUUUGGGUUAAUACCUCGGAGGGAUGACGGUACCUGAAGAAUAAGCACCGGCUAACUACGUGCCAGCAGCCGCGGUAAUACGUAGGGUGCGAGCGUUAAUCGGAAUUACUGGGCGUAAAGCGUGCGCAGGCGGUUUUGUAAGAUCGAUGUGAAAUCCCCGGGCUCAACCUGGGAACUACAUUGGUGACUGCAAGGCUGGAGUGCGGCAGAGGGGGAUGGAAUUCCGCGUGUAGCAGUGAAAUGCGUAGAUAUGCGGAGGAACACCGAUGGCGAAGGCAAUCCCCUGGGCCUGCACUGACGCUCAUGCACGAAAGCGUGGGGAGCAAACAGGAUUAGAAACCCGGGUAGUCC
RNAcentral lists this ribosomal RNA (450 nucleotides) under uncultured bacterium. RNAcentral's name for it is "partial 16S ribosomal RNA". It matches the Rfam family "Bacterial small subunit ribosomal RNA", at positions 354 to 796 of the family's 1533-position model. The record is from RNAcentral.